Drosophila willistoni is the source of this 248-nucleotide long non-coding RNA. RefSeq lists it as uncharacterized. The transcript is spliced from 2 exons. NCBI's taxonomy places the organism in Eukaryota, Metazoa, Arthropoda, Insecta, Diptera, Drosophilidae. The record is from RefSeq and is a predicted model, not a curated record.
UCUCACCUGUAUCCUUAAUGUGCAGUAAUAUUGAAAACAAUGAAAAUACUGUGCAGAGCCAUGAGCCUUCCCGAAAAACUCGUAAGAGGCCUCGAUCACCAUUGCCAGUUAUUGAAGGAGCAACACCUGUAUCUUUACCGUCUUCUGGUGGUUUUAAUGGGCUUGGUAUCGAAUCAAUUAUAAAGGAACCUAGUAAAGUUAUGUGGCGACAGCAAUCUAUGCAAUUGCACAUAAACAAUGUUGCUUUU